GAUGAACGCUGGCGGCGUGCUUAACACAUGCAAGUCGAACGGAAAGGCUCCUGCUUGCAGGGGUACUCGAGUGGCGAACGGGUGAGUAACACGUGGGUGAUCUGCCCUGCACUUCGGGAUAAGCCUGGGAAACUGGGUCUAAUACCGGAUAGGACGAUGGCUUGGAUGCCAUUGUGGAAAGUUUUUCGGUGUGGGAUGAGCUCGCGGCCUAUCAGCUUGUUGGUGGGGUAAUGGCCUACCAAGGCGUCGACGGGUAGCCGGCCUGAGAGGGUGUACGGCCACAUUGGGACUGAGAUACGGCCCAGACUCCUACGGGAGGCAGCAGUGGGGAAUAUUGCACAAUGGGCGCAAGCCUGAUGCAGCGACGCCGCGUGGGGGAUGACGGCCUUCGGGUUGUAAACUCCUUUCGGCAGGGACGAAGCGAAAGUGACGGUACCUGGAGAAGAAGCACCGGCUAACUACGUG
This 465-nucleotide ribosomal RNA is filed under the name uncultured bacterium. RNAcentral's name for it is "partial 16S ribosomal RNA". It matches the Rfam family "Bacterial small subunit ribosomal RNA", at positions 28 to 507 of the family's 1533-position model. The record is from RNAcentral.